This 1542-nucleotide ribosomal RNA is filed under the name Enterobacter hormaechei. RNAcentral's name for it is "bacterial SSU rRNA". It matches the Rfam family "Bacterial small subunit ribosomal RNA". RNAcentral also lists the same sequence under 1 other name. The record is from RNAcentral. Lineage: Bacteria; Pseudomonadati; Pseudomonadota; Gammaproteobacteria; Enterobacterales; Enterobacteriaceae.
AAAUUGAAGAGUUUGAUCAUGGCUCAGAUUGAACGCUGGCGGCAGGCCUAACACAUGCAAGUCGAACGGUAACAGGAAGCAGCUUGCUGCUUUGCUGACGAGUGGCGGACGGGUGAGUAAUGUCUGGGAAACUGCCUGAUGGAGGGGGAUAACUACUGGAAACGGUAGCUAAUACCGCAUAACGUCGCAAGACCAAAGAGGGGGACCUUCGGGCCUCUUGCCAUCGGAUGUGCCCAGAUGGGAUUAGCUAGUAGGUGGGGUAACGGCUCACCUAGGCGACGAUCCCUAGCUGGUCUGAGAGGAUGACCAGCCACACUGGAACUGAGACACGGUCCAGACUCCUACGGGAGGCAGCAGUGGGGAAUAUUGCACAAUGGGCGCAAGCCUGAUGCAGCCAUGCCGCGUGUAUGAAGAAGGCCUUCGGGUUGUAAAGUACUUUCAGCGGGGAGGAAGGCGUUGAGGUUAAUAACCUCAGCGAUUGACGUUACCCGCAGAAGAAGCACCGGCUAACUCCGUGCCAGCAGCCGCGGUAAUACGGAGGGUGCAAGCGUUAAUCGGAAUUACUGGGCGUAAAGCGCACGCAGGCGGUCUGUCAAGUCGGAUGUGAAAUCCCCGGGCUCAACCUGGGAACUGCAUUCGAAACUGGCAGGCUAGAGUCUUGUAGAGGGGGGUAGAAUUCCAGGUGUAGCGGUGAAAUGCGUAGAGAUCUGGAGGAAUACCGGUGGCGAAGGCGGCCCCCUGGACAAAGACUGACGCUCAGGUGCGAAAGCGUGGGGAGCAAACAGGAUUAGAUACCCUGGUAGUCCACGCCGUAAACGAUGUCGACUUGGAGGUUGUGCCCUUGAGGCGUGGCUUCCGGAGCUAACGCGUUAAGUCGACCGCCUGGGGAGUACGGCCGCAAGGUUAAAACUCAAAUGAAUUGACGGGGGCCCGCACAAGCGGUGGAGCAUGUGGUUUAAUUCGAUGCAACGCGAAGAACCUUACCUACUCUUGACAUCCAGAGAACUUUCCAGAGAUGGAUUGGUGCCUUCGGGAACUCUGAGACAGGUGCUGCAUGGCUGUCGUCAGCUCGUGUUGUGAAAUGUUGGGUUAAGUCCCGCAACGAGCGCAACCCUUAUCCUUUGUUGCCAGCGGUUAGGCCGGGAACUCAAAGGAGACUGCCAGUGAUAAACUGGAGGAAGGUGGGGAUGACGUCAAGUCAUCAUGGCCCUUACGAGUAGGGCUACACACGUGCUACAAUGGCGCAUACAAAGAGAAGCGACCUCGCGAGAGCAAGCGGACCUCAUAAAGUGCGUCGUAGUCCGGAUUGGAGUCUGCAACUCGACUCCAUGAAGUCGGAAUCGCUAGUAAUCGUGGAUCAGAAUGCCACGGUGAAUACGUUCCCGGGCCUUGUACACACCGCCCGUCACACCAUGGGAGUGGGUUGCAAAAGAAGUAGGUAGCUUAACCUUCGGGAGGGCGCUUACCACUUUGUGAUUCAUGACUGGGGUGAAGUCGUAACAAGGUAACCGUAGGGGAACCUGCGGUUGGAUCACCUCCUUA